UGGGGAAUAUUGGACAAUGGAGGAAACUCUGAUCCAGCAAUUCUGUGUGUGUGAAGAAGGUUUUAGGACUGUAAAACACUUUUAGUAGGGAAGAAAAAAAUGACGGUACCUACAGAAGAAGCAACGGCUAAAUACGUGCCAGCAGCCGCGGUAAUACGUAUGUUGCCAGCGUUAUCCGGAAUUAUUGGGCUUAAAGGGCAUCUAGGCGGUAAGACAAGUUGAAGGUGAAAACCUGUGGCUCAACCAUAGGCUUGCCUACAAAACUGUUGAACUAGAGUACUGGAAAGGUGGGUGGAACUACACGAGUAGAGGUGAAAUUCGUAGAUAUGUGUAGGAAUGCCGAUGAUGAAGAUAACUCACUGGACAGAAACUGACGCUGAAGUGCGAAAGCUAGGGGAGCAAACAGG
Molecule: ribosomal RNA, 407 nt
Filed under: Verrucomicrobiota bacterium
Lineage: Bacteria; Pseudomonadati; Verrucomicrobiota
Description: Verrucomicrobia bacterium partial 16S ribosomal RNA
Rfam family: Bacterial small subunit ribosomal RNA
Source: RNAcentral